AGAGUUUGAUUCUGGCUCAGGAUGAACGCUAGCUACAGGCUUAACACAUGCAAGUCGAGGGGCAGCAUGAUCUUAGCUUGCUAAGAUUGAUGGCGACCGGCGCACGGGUGAGUAACGCGUAUCCAACCUUCCCUAUAGUAGGGGAUAGCCCGUAGAAAUGCGGAUUAAUACCCUAUGUUGUAUUUCGAUGACAUCUGACGAAUACCAAAGGUUCACCGCUAUAGGAUGGGGAUGCGUCUGAUUAGGUAGUCGGCGGGGUAACGGCCCACCGAGCCAACGAUCAGUAGGGGUUCUGAGAGGAAGGUCCCCCACAUUGGAACUGAGACACGGUCCAAACUCCUACGGGAGGCAGCAGUGAGGAAUAUUGGUCAAUGGGCGAGAGCCUGAACCAGCCAAAGUAGCGUGCAGGAUGACGGCCCUAUGGGUUGUAAACUGCUUUUAUGCGGGGAUAAAGUGGGGGACGUGUCCCCCUUUGUAGGUACCGCAUGAAUAAGGACCGGCUAAUUCCGUGCCAGCCGCCGC
RNAcentral lists this ribosomal RNA (522 nucleotides) under uncultured bacterium. RNAcentral describes it as "bacterial SSU rRNA". It matches the Rfam family "Bacterial small subunit ribosomal RNA", at positions 8 to 518 of the family's 1533-position model. The record is from RNAcentral.